ACCUUGCGGGGGGGGCGCCGCCGCUCUUCCUCCCGCAGGGGGGAGGGGGAGGAGGAGGAGGAGGAGGAGGAGGAGCCCCCCCGCUUCCUCUUCCUCUUCCCCCCUCCCCCCUCCCCUUCUUUUGCCCGUUUCCCCUGUUUCUCCACCCAUUUCCGCAGGGGGAGGUCGUCGUCCUCGGCCUCCGAGUCGCUGGAGGCCUUCGCGGGGGGGGGCUCUUCCUCCUCCUCCUCCUCCUCUUCCUCCUCCUCCUCCUCUUCCUCGCUCUCCAUUUUCCUUCUUUUCCGCCCAUUUCUCGCAGCCCGUUUGUUCUCGCUCUCGUUCCCCUUUUUGCCUUUUUUCUCCUCGUUUUUGGGGGGCGGCUUCUUUCUCUUUUCCUCCUCCUCCUCCUCUUCCUCCUCCUCUUCCUCCUCCUCUUCCUCCUCCUCUUCCUCACUCUCCAUUUUUCCUCUUUUCCGCCCAUUUUUCACAGCCUGUUUUUUCUCACCCUCACUCCUCUUUUUGCCUUUUUUCUCCUCAGUUUUGGGGGGCGGCUUCUUCUUCUUCUCCUUCUCUUCCUCCUCCUCCUCCUCCUGCUCUUCCUCCUCCUCUUCCUCAUCAUCUUCCUCGCUCUCCGUUUCGACCUUUUUCUGCCCAUUUUUCACAGCCCGUUUUUUCUCGCUCUCGUUCCUCUUUUUGCCUUUUUUCUCCUCAUUUUUGGGGGGCGGCUUCUUCCUCUUUUCCUUCUCUUCCUCCUCAUCUUCCUCUUCCUUCUGCUCUUCCUUAUCCUCUUCCUCCUCAUCUUCCUCCUCUUCCUCACUUUCCAUUUUUCCUCUUUUCCGCCCAUUUUUCACAGCCCGUUUGUUCUCGCUCUCGUUCCUCUUUUUGUCCUUUUUCUCCUCAGUUUUGGGGGGCGGUUUCUUCCUCUUCUUUUCCUUUUCUUCCUCCUCCUCCUCCUCUUCCUCUUCUUCAUCAUCUUCUUCGUCUUCGUCACUCUCCAUUUUUACCCUUUUCCGCCCAUUUCUCACAGCCUGUUUCUUCUCGCUCUCGUUCCUCUUUUUGCCUUUUUUCUCCUCAUUUUUGGGGGGCGGCUUCUUCUUCCUCUUCUGCUCUUCCUCUUCCUCUUCUUCAUCAUCUUCCUCCUCUUCCUCACUCUCCGUUUCUACCCUUUUCCCCCCAUUUCUCACUGCCUGUUUUUUCUCCCUCUCACUCCUCUUUUUGCCUUUUUCCUCCUCAUUUUUGGGGGGCGGUUUUUUCCUCUCCUCUUCCUCCUCCUCCUCCUCUUCCUCAUCAUCUUCCUCACUCUCCAUUUUUACCCUUUUCCACCCAUUUUUCACGUGCUGUUUCUUCUCACUCUCACUCGCCAUUUUGCCCGUUUUCACCCCAUUUUUGGGGGGCGGCUUCUUCCUCUUUUCUUCCUCUUCCUCCUCCUCUUCCUCACUCUCCGUUUCGACCCUUUUCCGCCCAUUUUUCACAGUCUGUUUUUUCCCGCUCUCACUCCUCUUUUUCUCUUUUUUCUCCUCAUUCUUGGGGGGCGGUUUCUUCCUCUCCUCUUCCUCUUCCUCCUCCUCCUCCUCCUCUUCUUCAUCCUCCUCGUCUUCCUCCUCCUCUUCCUCACUCUCUAUUUUUACCCUUUUCGCCCCAUUUCUCACAGCCUGGUUUUUCUCACUCUCACUCGUCUUUUUGCCCGUUUUCACCCCAUUUUUGAGGGGCGGCUUCUUCCUCUUUUCUUCCUCUUCCUCCUCCUCUUCCUCCUCCUCUUCUUCCUCCUCUUCCUCGCUCUCCAUUUUCACCCUUUUCUGCCCAUUUUUCACAGGCUGGUUUUUUUCACUCUCGGUCCUCUUUUUGCCCGUUUUCUCCUCAUUUUCAGGGGUCACCUCCUCCUCUUCCUCCUCCUCUUCCUCUUCCUCCUCCUCCUCCUCCUCCUCGCUCCCCUUUUCCCCCUUUUUCCCCCCAUUUCGCAGGGGCGGGGCCUCCCCUCCCCCUUCCUCCUCCCCCUCGCUCCCCAUUUCGCCUCUUUUCACCCCAAUUCCAGGGGGCGGGGCCUCCCCUUCCCCCCCGUUCCCCAUUUCCCCCUUUUCUGCCCCAAAUCCCGGCGUCGGGGCCUCCAUUUCGGGCUCCGUUUCCCCCCUUUUUCGCCCCAAAAAACGCGGGGAGGGCGGGACUUCCGCCUCGCCCCCGCCUCUUCCGGGUUAGUGAGGUCACGUGGGGGGGUCUCGCUAUCCCACAAUCCCCCGCGCUCCCCGCCGCCCGCCGGCGGCCGCCAUUUUGUC
RNAcentral lists this long non-coding RNA (2249 nucleotides) under Calidris pygmaea (Spoon-billed sandpiper). Its description in RNAcentral is "lncRNA (ENSCPGG00000003936.1)". Lineage: Eukaryota; Metazoa; Chordata; Aves; Charadriiformes; Scolopacidae. The record is from RNAcentral.